UAGCUAUGAUAGAGGUUCCUGGAUGCC
This 27-nucleotide non-coding RNA is filed under the name Mus musculus (house mouse). The record is from RNAcentral. Lineage: Eukaryota; Metazoa; Chordata; Mammalia; Rodentia; Muridae.